UGGGACGUUGUGUACGGUGCACCGCUGCAUUCAAUGCGUCAGACUGGGUACUAGUUGACCAGCAGCAAUCCGGGGUUCGACUCCCCGCGUCCCAA
Molecule: non-coding RNA, 95 nt
Organism: Mycena epipterygia
Lineage: Eukaryota; Fungi; Basidiomycota; Agaricomycetes; Agaricales; Mycenaceae
Source: the annotation of a GenBank genome assembly